This 219-nucleotide unclassified non-coding RNA is filed under the name Hevea brasiliensis (rubber tree). The record is from RNAcentral. Lineage: Eukaryota; Viridiplantae; Streptophyta; Magnoliopsida; Malpighiales; Euphorbiaceae.
UUGGUUUCCCUUUAUAAUAGAAAGGGAAAGAAAAGGGCCAACAACAAAACAACUUUAGCCAAAUUUACAAUUGUGACCACAUACUUUGGGAAUGUUUAUUAUGAAUUUUUGACCUAUACUUUCAUGUCAGUUACAACUUACAAAUGUAGCAAAGGUCUAAAAAUCUCAUUUCGGGUGUUCUACCAUCAGAACAUCGAAGUACAAUCUUGGGAACAAAAG